This 229-nucleotide ribosomal RNA is filed under the name uncultured bacterium. RNAcentral describes it as "partial 16S ribosomal RNA". It matches the Rfam family "Bacterial small subunit ribosomal RNA", at positions 568 to 796 of the family's 1533-position model. The record is from RNAcentral.
UGCGUAGGCGGAUUAAUAAGUCAGUGGGGAAAACCUGCAGCUUAACUGCAGACCUGCCAUUGAUACUGUUAGUCUUGAGUACGGUCAAGGUAGGCGGAAUGUGUAAUGUAGCGGUGAAAUGCUUAGAUAUUACACAGAACACCGAUUGCGAAGGCAGCUUACUGGGCCAUUACUGACGCUGAGGCACGAAAGCGUGGGGAGCGAACAGGAUUAGAUACCCUGGUAGUCC